UACAGAGGGGGCAAGCGUUGUUCGGAAUUACUGGGCGUAAAGGGCGCGUAGGCGGCCCGCUAAGUCGAACGUGAAAUCCCUGGGCUCAACCCAGGAACUGCGUCCGAUACUGGUGGGCUUGAAUCCGGGAGAGGGAUGUGGAAUUCCAGGUGUAGCGGUGAAAUGCGUAGAUAUCUGGAGGAACACCGGUGGCGAAGGCGACAUCCUGGACCGGUAUUGACGCUGAGGCGCGAAAGCCAGGGGAGCAAACGGG
This 253-nucleotide ribosomal RNA is filed under the name uncultured bacterium. RNAcentral describes it as "partial 16S ribosomal RNA". It matches the Rfam family "Bacterial small subunit ribosomal RNA", at positions 524 to 776 of the family's 1533-position model. The record is from RNAcentral.